Long non-coding RNA from Cygnus atratus (black swan), 739 nucleotides. RefSeq lists it as uncharacterized. NCBI's taxonomy places the organism in Eukaryota, Metazoa, Chordata, Aves, Anseriformes, Anatidae. The record is from RefSeq and is a predicted model, not a curated record. The transcript is spliced from 4 exons.
CCAAAACCAACUCGCAAACACAAUUAGCGAGCAGGAACUCCACGCUCGCUUUCACGGUGAAGGGCGCGGCGGCAGCCCAGGAGGGCUGCUCCAUCCAGCUGGCACACCCGGCUACCAGCAAAACCGUUCUACUUGACUCGUUUCUAAUACUUAUAGGAAAAUAACGGAGUGAAGUCACUAUGAGACGCUUCUGCUUCUGACUAUUCCAAUCACAAGGAAAUUGAAGGAGAUGGCAACGAAAACAAGAGAACACCAUUCACUGCAUGUUUUUACUGCUCAGAAAACCUCCUAGAUUGCAGCUGAAGAGCAAGAUCAGAUACUUGCUUUUAUGAACAGGCCAGGCAGAAGUCAGAACAAGCAUGGGCUGCCGGUAGUGAAAACAGCAAGGCUAUCCUGUGAAACAGAUCAAGAAACCCACAUGCGGGAAGGAAGCAGAAAUUCCCUCAUUGUACUCUUCCAAAAGCAACUGCGGAGAGAAAUGCCUGUCUUGCUGCAAGUGACAGGAAGGCAAACAAGCUCCCUGCCACACGGGACGGAGGACUCCACGUCAGGAAAUGCAACCUGUUAACAUCUGUCUGAAUGUCCCAUGGCUGCAUCUGCUGGAAGAGGCCACCACGUCCCUGGCUGUUUUGUCCCCCACCCUUCUCCAGCCACGACUUAAAUAAACACCGCUAGGAAAGGUUUCCUUUACGGAACACACGCUCUAAUUCGGUGCUCAGAUACACGCGUAUCCUGUUUG